AGUGUUGGAGGCUAAACACAUAAGUAAUGGAAGGAUCCCAUCAACAUUCUGCAGCAGGCUGACAGUCCACACAUUUAGCAGUAGAUUGAAGACUGUCCAACUAUCAGAACCCCUUUGAGGAAUCAGAUAUUUAUGAAGAUUUAUGAUGAAUUUGGCUCCUUUCCUUCAAUUUAUUUCUUUCGAUUUUAUUUUGCUCUUGAGCUGAUGACAUUGUCCUGAGGAUUGCUUUGGAGAACUUAUUAAACCAGACAGUGAGAGGGAGAUGAAUUAAAACACACUGCUGAAGUGACAUGAUCACUGAGGCACCCAGGCUAUCUCCGCUUAUAUUAAGCAGACUGCCUGACUCACACUGUGGUUUAUGCAGAGGACACAUGAGAGUGCUUAGUGAUUUACUGAAAUAUAAACCACUACAUGACAUUGGGUGCAUCAUUCGCAAAGCUGAAGGGCAAAUUGAGAAAAUGUAUUGGUGUUCUCUUUGGGGAAUCUAACAUCGUGCAGAUCUGCUGUCUCGGAGAGUUGCUCGUAUGCACAUUAUGAAGUAUCAGGAAAUACAAAUAUUCAUUUUGCAUUAUAUAAUGAAGGCAAUCUUCAAACAAUAAAUCUUAUGUGGUGAGUAAAGAACCACACAGUUGAUUCAAUCCCCAGUCUGUACUCAGGAGUAGUAUAGCCUCAGUGCCAACAGGGAAAUGGAUCCCCCUUGUUCACAUUUCUGAAAGUUAUUCAGUCGAGUGGACCUUGAUUUCCUGUAUAAUGUAGAAUGGUGAAUUGACUACAAUGGAAAUAAAAAUCAUGAAAGAUU
This is a long non-coding RNA of Carcharodon carcharias (great white shark), 799 nucleotides long. RefSeq lists it as uncharacterized. Lineage: Eukaryota; Metazoa; Chordata; Chondrichthyes; Lamniformes; Lamnidae. The transcript is spliced from 2 exons. The record is from RefSeq and is a predicted model, not a curated record.